UGGGGAAUUUUGGACAAUGGGCGAAAGCCUGAUCCAGCAAUGCCGCGUGUGUGAAGAAGGCCUUCGGGUUGUAAAGCACUUUUGUCCGGAAAGAAAUCCUUGGCUCUAAUACAGUCGGGGGAUGACGGUACCGGAAGAAUAAGCACCGGCUAACUACGUGCCAGCAGCCGCGGUAAUACGUAGGGUGCAAGCGUUAAUCGGAAUUACUGGGCGUAAAGCGUGCGCAGGCGGUUUGCUAAGACCGAUGUGAAAUCCCCGGGCUCAACCUGGGAACUGCAUUGGUGACUGGCAGGCUAGAGUAUGGCAGAGGGGGGUAGAAUUCCNACGUGUAGCAGUGAAAUGCGGUAGAGAUGUGGAGGAAUACCGAUGGCGAAGGCA
Molecule: ribosomal RNA, 378 nt
Filed under: uncultured bacterium
Lineage: Bacteria
Description: partial 16S ribosomal RNA
Rfam family: Bacterial small subunit ribosomal RNA
Source: RNAcentral